CAGCAGUGCUGGGGGACCCGGCGCACCCUCCGCAGCUGCUGGCCCGGGUGCUAAACCCCUCACUGCCCGGGCCGGCGGUGCCGGCGGGCUGCUCUCAGUGCGGGACCUCGGAGCCUGCGCCCACCCGGAACUAGCCGCGUUCAGCCCUGGUUCCCGCCCCCGCCUCUCCCGCCACACCUCUCCACAAGCAGAGGGAGCUGGCUUCAGCCUCAGCCAGCACAGAGAGGGGCCCCCAUAGCGCAGUGGCGGGCUGAAGGGCUCCUUGAGCAUGGCCAGAGUGGACGCCAAGGCUGAGGAGGCGCCGAGAGCCAGUGAGGGCUGCUAGCAUGUUGUCACCUCUCAAUACAUCUGGGGCCUCUUCUUCAUGAAUGGCAGAUGCAGCAGCAGUGUCACAGAUGCCUCCCAAAGGCACCCUCUCUCUGUGGAUGCUGCCAGUCUCCAAGAUUGAGGAUGGUGAUGUCAGCCCUACGGCUGCCCAAGGCCAGUGCUGUUUUUAUUGUUUCCACCACCAUCAACACAGCCAGCAGCAUGAGGGGGGCCAAUAAUGUCAACAGGUUUCAGCAUUUUCUCCAUCAUCACCCUUGGGACUUGGAUAAAACUACUGGAGGGUGGUUCCAAGAUGGCCAAAUAGGAACAGCUCCAGUCUACAGCUCCCAGCAUGAGUGAUGCAGAAGACGAAUGAUUUCUGCAUUUCCAACUCAGAGAGCUGACUUUAGAGGGAUCAAGAAUAGCUUGCUGGAUGGAAGGAGGUCAUCUUUAGGAGCUGGCAUGAAUUGCUGUGUUUCAGAACAGUCCACGCAGAGGAAUGAGGAGAAGAGGAUUCAUCCAUUAGCUUCCAUCUCCCAUUGGUGAAAGCUUGCCCUGCAACUCCUCCACACUUCUGGGUUGUAUGACCUGUCCUGCUACAGCCACUAUGGAAAUCUGAACCCAUGUUAGUAGCCACCUCCUCAGCAUGACCUGCAGCUUAUGGGGCAUGCAGUAAGUAGGAGCAAGCCAAGCGCCCUGCGGGCUAGACCUCUGGCACACUGCAGAACCAGCAUGAACCAGGGCAGGUAGUGAACACCGAGAGGGUCCCAUGGUACUGCCCACCAUAGAGACUAAAACAGAGCCUUUGGCAAGAGGCAGGAGGCUCUAGGCAUGAGGUGUUUUCGGUCAUAGCCACACAUUACCUCAGAUUCCAG
This 1181-nucleotide long non-coding RNA is filed under the name Homo sapiens (human). RNAcentral describes it as "PREDICTED lncRNA (TCONS_00073557)". The record is from RNAcentral. Lineage: Eukaryota; Metazoa; Chordata; Mammalia; Primates; Hominidae.